CUGUAUAAGGAAUGAGUAAGAUGCUUUUCAAAACAUAGGUAGGAGACAACGCACCAGUGAUACAAACAUGCACUAUCAUGCUACACAUUAUAUGACAUGUCACUGUAAUUUGUUGUAAACUUGUAAUACUAAUUACUUGUCUAGUAAGAUUUCAUAAACAGGGUUAUACAAUAGUUAUUGCAGGAUAUAUCAUCUAUCAGGGUUCAAUGCAUAAGCUGUUCAAAGGUUGCUGCUCAGAAAAUUGCAAUAAUCGACCAUUUCGCAAGGAGAAAAAUUUCAAGAUUGUCAAGGUUUGAAAUUUUACUACAUUAAGAUGGAC
RNAcentral lists this long non-coding RNA (319 nucleotides) under Glycine max (soybean). RNAcentral describes it as "long non-coding RNA (GMAX_LNC001375)". The record is from RNAcentral. Lineage: Eukaryota; Viridiplantae; Streptophyta; Magnoliopsida; Fabales; Fabaceae.